RNAcentral lists this long non-coding RNA (379 nucleotides) under Heterocephalus glaber (naked mole-rat). Its description in RNAcentral is "lncRNA (ENSHGLG00100051556.1)". The record is from RNAcentral. Lineage: Eukaryota; Metazoa; Chordata; Mammalia; Rodentia; Bathyergidae.
CGCGGGCUGCACCCCGGGCAGACGCUCUGCAAUGAGACAGUAAAUGCAUCCCCCGGGGACUGUGCAGUAUUUAAUGACUCAACUCCGGAUGUUUCCUUUCCACUGAUGUCAGUUUAUAGAGCAGCUCUCAAGCGAAUGUUUGUGCAGAAAGGAAAGAGGUAGGGAGCCCUUGAGACCCUAAGAAUAAGUGGGCUUCAGCUGCUGCCCCCAUUUGCUAUGGGGGCCAGGCCCUGAUACUUCAGUGCCUGAUGCUUCCGGUUUCUAGGUGCAUGGAAGUGUUGGCUUUGGGGACUUGAGACCAGCUGGGGGUGCUUUCAUGGGGGUGCGAUCAGGUGUGGGUGGUAGGUGUCUUGGAGCAGGUGCUCCCAGAAGUUGAGUG